This is a non-coding RNA of Podarcis lilfordi (Lilford's wall lizard), 73 nucleotides long. Lineage: Eukaryota; Metazoa; Chordata; Lepidosauria; Squamata; Lacertidae. The record is from the annotation of a GenBank genome assembly.
GAUAGCUCAGUCACUAGAGCAGGAGACUCUCAGUCUCAGGGUCGUGGGUUCGAGCCCCAAAGUGGGGAAAACA